RNAcentral lists this ribosomal RNA (622 nucleotides) under uncultured bacterium. RNAcentral describes it as "bacterial SSU rRNA". It matches the Rfam family "Bacterial small subunit ribosomal RNA", at positions 338 to 948 of the family's 1533-position model. The record is from RNAcentral.
CCUACGGGAGGCAGCAGUGGGGAAUUUUGGACAAUGGGCGAAAGCCUGAUCCAGCAAUGCCGCGUGUGGGAAGAAGGCCUUCGGGUUGUAAACCACUUUUGUACGGAACGAAACGGUUCGCUUUAAUACAGUGGGCUAAUGACGGUACCGUAAGAAUAAGCACCGGCUAACUACGUGCCAGCAGCCGCGGUAAUACGUAGGGUGCGAGCGUUAAUCGGAAUUACUGGGCGUAAAGUGUGCGCAGGCGGUUGUAUAAGACAGUUGUGAAAUCCCCGGGGCUCAACCUGAGAAUUGCAUCUGUGACUGUAUAGCUAGAGUGCGGUAGAGGGGGAUGGAAUUCCGCGUGUAGCAGUGAAAUGCGUAGAUAUGCGGAGGAACACCGAUGGCGAAGGCAAUCCCCCUGGACCUGUACUGACGCUCAUGCACGAAAGCGUGGGGAGCAAACAGGAUUAGAUACCCUGGUAGUCCACGCCCUAAACCGAUGUCAACUGGUUGUUGGGUUGCAUUAGUACUCAGUAACCGAAGCUAACGCGUGAAGUUGACCGCCUGGGGAGUACGGCCGCAAGGUUGAAACUCAAAUGAAUUGACGGCUGNGAGNGCGAGACGACGACGAGGGAGGAGG